RNAcentral lists this non-coding RNA (205 nucleotides) under Eubacteriales bacterium. RNAcentral describes it as "6S RNA". It matches the Rfam family "6S / SsrS RNA". Rfam says of the family: E. coli 6S RNA was the first non coding RNA to be sequenced, but its function was unknown until recently. It consists of 184 nucleotides that fold into an extended hairpin structure with a large single-stranded internal bulge. Lineage: Bacteria; Bacillati; Bacillota; Clostridia; Eubacteriales. The record is from RNAcentral.
AGCUUUCUGCGGUGUGCGUGUAGGUCUAUUGACCAUAAUGGCCCAUUAAACCCACAUCUCUUAUAAGGGAUGCCGAUUUGAAUCUGCGGAUUGCAGGCCUCCCGCCUUACGGCGGACGUUGGAAGCAGCGAAACAGAGCUUAGGCGACCCACCUGCUCUUUUGUGCAGGUUAUAACUGGGCCAGCACGGCAUACGCGGAAGUCUC